CGGGGCAGCAGCCGCGGCGAUGAAUGGUGGCUAUUAUCAAGGAAUGCAGCAGAUGCAACCAAAUCCUUAUCAUCAGCAGCAGCAGCAGCAUCAACAACAACAGCAGCAGCAGCAAUACAUGGCUAUGAUGAUGCAGCAACAACAACAGCAACAAAUGCAGCAACAACUGCAGCAGCAACAAAUGCAGCAAGGAAACAUGAACAACAUGUAUCCACAACAUAUGAUGUAUGGAGGUGGAAGGCCACAUCCA
RNAcentral lists this long non-coding RNA (250 nucleotides) under Medicago truncatula (barrel medic). RNAcentral describes it as "long non-coding RNA (MTRU_LNC006016)". The record is from RNAcentral. Lineage: Eukaryota; Viridiplantae; Streptophyta; Magnoliopsida; Fabales; Fabaceae.